GACAGAGGGUGCAAACGUUGUUCGGAAUUACUGGGCGUAAAGCGCGUGUAGGCGGCCAUCUAAGUCGGGCGUGAAAUCCCACGGCUCAACCGUGGAAGUGCACUCGAAACUGGAUGGCUAGAGUCCUGGAGAGGAAGGUGGAAUGCUUGGUGUAGAGGUGAAAUUCGUAGAUAUCAAGCGGAACACCGGUGGCGAAGGCGGCCUUCUGGACAGCGACUGACGCUGAGACG
Molecule: ribosomal RNA, 230 nt
Filed under: uncultured bacterium
Lineage: Bacteria
Description: partial 16S ribosomal RNA
Rfam family: Bacterial small subunit ribosomal RNA
Source: RNAcentral